GGCGCCGUAGCCAAGCGGCCUAAGGCAGCGGAUUGCAAAUCCGCCAUCGCGGGUUCGAAUCCCGCCGGCGCCU
This 73-nucleotide transfer RNA is filed under the name Planctomycetota bacterium. RNAcentral's name for it is "Planctomycetes bacterium (hydrothermal vent metagenome) tRNA-Cys". It matches the Rfam family "tRNA". Rfam says of the family: Transfer RNA (tRNA) molecules are approximately 80 nucleotides in length. The record is from RNAcentral. Lineage: Bacteria; Pseudomonadati; Planctomycetota.